AUUCAAGCGUUGAAGGAGACAAGUAGUUAUAGGCUGUGUCAUAGAGAGCUUGUGGAUGGUGGAAACAAGUCACAAAAUAUAAUGAAUACACUCUGGAGCAUCUAAGUGCAAAGCUUAGACGGUGGCAACACCGUUAUCAAUAAGAGAGUAUGUGUAAACAUAAAUAAAGGUGGUACCGCGAGAAUUCGUCCUUUGG
This 196-nucleotide non-coding RNA is filed under the name Candidatus Stoquefichus. RNAcentral describes it as "T-box sequence". It matches the Rfam family "T-box leader". Rfam says of the family: Uncharged tRNA acts as the effector for transcription antitermination of genes in the T-box leader family. T-boxes are found upstream of many aminoacyl-tRNA synthetase genes and some amino acid biosynthetic genes usually in Gram-positive bacteria. Lineage: Bacteria; Bacillati; Bacillota; Erysipelotrichia; Erysipelotrichales; Erysipelotrichaceae. The record is from RNAcentral.